AACUAUCCACAUGCUCUUGUUUGAUACAAGAUUAACAAACUCAUGAUCACUGAUGAUAACAAGAUCAUCAAUAGUAGCAGUAGUAAUACAAUCUUAAUCAUGAUCUUCAUGGUCUCUUUGUUUAGACCUACCUUUCUUUCCUUUAUUAUCUCUUUUCCACUGAUACCAAUACUUCUGUACGUGUCGUAUUUUUUGACAAUAAGGACACUCCAGAUUCUUGUAUCGCUGCUUGGACUUGCUUAUGCUAUUAU
RNAcentral lists this long non-coding RNA (251 nucleotides) under Lathyrus oleraceus (garden pea). RNAcentral's name for it is "Pisum sativum (pea) long non-coding RNA (PSAT_LNC016624)". The record is from RNAcentral. Lineage: Eukaryota; Viridiplantae; Streptophyta; Magnoliopsida; Fabales; Fabaceae.